GACGCACGCUGGCGGCGUGCCUAAUACAUGCAAGUCGAACGCAGUGGGGCCGGGUGAGUAACACGUGGGUAACCUCCCAUCAGAGGGGAUCACACUUGGAAACAGGUGCUAAACCGAUAUUGAUUGAUGGACCCGCGGUGCAUUAGCUAGUUGGGUAGGUAACGGAUCACCAAGGCCACGAUGCAUAGCCGACCUGAGAGGGUGAUCGGCCACACGGGGACUGAGACACGGCCCAGACUCCUACGGGAGGCAGCAGUAGGGAAUCUGAGGCAAUGGACGAAAGUCUGACCGAGCAACGCCGCGUGAGUGAAGAAGGUUUUCGGAUCGUAAAACUCUGUUGUUAGAGAAGCGGUAUCUAACCAGAAAGCAACGGCUAACUACGUGCCAGCAACCGCGGUAAUUC
Molecule: ribosomal RNA, 403 nt
Filed under: uncultured bacterium
Lineage: Bacteria
Description: partial 16S ribosomal RNA
Rfam family: Bacterial small subunit ribosomal RNA
Source: RNAcentral